RNAcentral lists this small nuclear RNA (21 nucleotides) under Arabidopsis thaliana (thale cress). RNAcentral's name for it is "snRNA_04906". The record is from RNAcentral. Lineage: Eukaryota; Viridiplantae; Streptophyta; Magnoliopsida; Brassicales; Brassicaceae.
UAUCGAUCCUUUAGACCUUCG